Molecule: non-coding RNA, 928 nt
Filed under: Pan troglodytes (chimpanzee)
Lineage: Eukaryota; Metazoa; Chordata; Mammalia; Primates; Hominidae
Source: RNAcentral
GCCAUCGGGCCGCGGGCGCUCGGAACAGACCUGGGAGCUGGCGGGACCGUCCUCCCCCGCCACGCCCUCCCAUCGGGCUUUGGGCGCCGGACUCUGGCCACCGCUCGGCACCUGCCUCCGCCUCGCCUUGGGGUAUAGGAGUCCUGUACCGACCCCUGGCUUGCCCAGAGUACAGGUUCUCGCCCGGGCCAGAAGCAAACUGCGGCGAAAUCGAGACAACAGCACUCAGUGCCCUUUCUUUUUCUUCAGAGUCACUCUGUCACCCAGGCUGGAGUGCAGUGGCACCAUCACAGCUCCCUGCAGCCUUGACUUACAGGGCUCCAGUGAUCCUCCACCCUCAGCCUCCUGAGUAUCUGAGACCACAGGUGCAAGCCACCAUGCCCAGUUGUAGCAAGGAAACCAAAAGGUAUAAACAUUCACUGAUUGAAAAACAAUGUCAUAAAGUCAUCCCAGUAUCUGUGAGGAGUUGGUUCCAGGACCCCUGAGGACACCAAAAUCCUCAGAUGCUCAAGUCCCUGAUAAAAAAAUAAAAGCAGUGGUGCCCUCGGGUUCAAAAACCUGAACGGUGGUCUUCAGUUGUUCCCCAAGCUCCUCUAUCAGAGGCCCAGACACUCCAAGAGGCCGGGAAGAGGCAAGUGGCUUUCCCUGACUGGCAUCAGACUCCUGGAUGGCUGUGUUUCUGCAUACUCCACCAUCAACAAUCAGAAGGGCACUGCUUUCUUCAAGAAGGGGACCUUGCAAAGAACUGUCUCAGAUGGACUAUCUUUGAGUUCAUCUUGUUCUGAAUGCGAGUCUGAGUCUUCGUUUCCAGAUGACACAGUGCUGUCUGAGUCCUCUGAAUCACCUGCCUCAGAGCUGCAGCAAAGUUUCUGCUGCCCAGAAACUGAAUGGGCUGCUUGUAAUGCAGAUUCUUCCUCCUGGACAAGAA